UCGCUCUCGGAGGAGGAAGACACGGUCGUUUGGCCCCAUUCCCCUUCUGGUCGGUUCUCGGUGAAAUCUUUAUAUGGGAAACUCAUUGCUGGGUCCAUCACUUCCAAAUUCAAAUGGAUCUGGAGGGCUCGUAUUCCUCCUAAGGUCAAGGUUUUCCUCUGGCAAGCCUCUCGUGGGCGUCUGCCGACGGGUGACCAAAUUCGCAAGCGCAAUGGCCCGGGAUCUGAUAGAUGUGCUUUAUGUGGGUUGAGAGAAGACUCAUCACAUAUUUUCUUCAACUGUGUGUUGGCUAAGCUGUUAUGGUGUUGUAUUAGAUCAUGGAUGCAUGUCUCCUGGGCUCCGACCUCCUUUUCUGACCUGCGCAUCUUGGCCAAUUCUUUGGUUGGGGCCCAGAGGAGAUUGUUUUGGGUGGGCUUCGCAGCCAUGUGCUGGUCCCUUUGGACGACAAGGAAUAAAUUUACUAUCGAACAUGUUUUCCCCGCUAAGCCUGCUGAUUGCUUAUUUAAGACUUGUAUAUUCCUGUAG
RNAcentral lists this ribosomal RNA (525 nucleotides) under Triticum aestivum (bread wheat). RNAcentral describes it as "partial small subunit ribosomal RNA". The record is from RNAcentral. Lineage: Eukaryota; Viridiplantae; Streptophyta; Magnoliopsida; Poales; Poaceae.